Rhinichthys klamathensis goyatoka is the source of this 132-nucleotide small nucleolar RNA. RefSeq annotates it as small nucleolar RNA SNORA13. The record is from RefSeq and is a predicted model, not a curated record. The transcript has a single exon. Lineage: Eukaryota; Metazoa; Chordata; Actinopteri; Cypriniformes; Leuciscidae.
UGCCUUAAAGUGUUACCUGUUCAUUGCCGGUCAGAUGAAUGCGGUGUCAAAUAGGGCAGACAUUAACUCACAAGAUGGCUGCUGAAAGGCGUUUACAUCUAUGCCUUUCGGAGUUUCAUUUUAUGGACAUUU